Molecule: small RNA, 117 nt
Filed under: Pongo abelii (Sumatran orangutan)
Lineage: Eukaryota; Metazoa; Chordata; Mammalia; Primates; Hominidae
Description: Metazoan signal recognition particle RNA (ENSPPYG00000035278.1)
Source: Rfam by way of RNAcentral
GCCGGGCGGGGUGGCUCACGCCUGUAAUCCCAGCACUUUGGGAGGCCGAGGCGGGUGGAUCACCUGAGGUCAGGAGUUCGAGACCAGCCUGGCCAACAUGGUGAAACCCCGUCUCUA